RNAcentral lists this ribosomal RNA (241 nucleotides) under uncultured bacterium. RNAcentral describes it as "partial 16S ribosomal RNA". It matches the Rfam family "Bacterial small subunit ribosomal RNA", at positions 96 to 334 of the family's 1533-position model. The record is from RNAcentral.
UGGCGAACGGGUGAGUAAUACGUGAGUGACCUACCUUUGACUCUGGGAUAAGCCUGGGAAACUGGGUCUAAUACCGGAUACGACCAAUCUCCGCAUGGGGUGUUGGUGGAAAGCGUUAUGGAGUGGUUUUAGAUGGGCUCACGGCCUAUCAGCUUGUUGGUGAGGUAAUGGCUUACCAAGGCGACGACGGGUAGCCGGCCUGAGAGGGUGACCGCCACACUGGGACUGAGACACGGCCCAG